AUGGUAACCAGGUUACACACUGUUACACACUCACUCUAACCAGGCUACACACUGUUACACGCUCACGGUAACCAGGUUACACACUGUUACACACUCACUCUAACCAGGUUACACACUGUUAUACGCUCACGGUAACCAGGUUACACACGGUUACACACUCACUCUAACCAGGUUACACACUGUUACACGCUCACGGUAACCAGGUUACUCACUGUUACACGCAACGGUAACCAGGUUACACACUGUUACAUACUCACGGUAACCAGGUUACACACUGUUACACGCAACGGUAACCAGGUUACACACUGUUACAUGCACACGGUAACCAGGUUACACACUGUUACACACUCACUCUAACCAGGUUACACACUGUUACAUGCUCACUCUAACCAGGUUACACACUGUUACACGCUCUCUCUAACCAGGUUACACUGUUACACGCACACGGGAACCAGGUUACACACUGUUACACACUCACUCUAACCAGGUUACACACUGUUACAUGCUCACGGUAACCAGGUUACACACUGUUAUAUACACAUGGUAACCAGGUUACACACUAUUACACGCACACGGGAACCAGGUUUCACACUGUUACACACUCACUCUAACCAGGUUACACACUGUUACACGCUCACGGUAACCAGGUUACACACUGUUACACGCUCACUCUAACCAGGUUACACACUGUUACAUGCUCACGGUAACCAGGUUACACACUGUUAUAUACACACGGUAACCAGGUUACACACUGUUACACGCACACCGUAACCAGGUUACUCACUGUUACAUGCUCACGGUAACCAGGUUACUCACUGUUACACGCUCACACUAACCAGGUUACACAAUGUUACACACUCACUCUAACCAGGUUACACACUGUUACGCGCUCACGGUAACCAGGUUACACACUGUUACACGCAACGGUAACCAGGUUACACACUGUUACACGCAACGGUAACCAGGUUACACACUGUUACACACUCACGGUAACCAGGUUACAUACUGU
Molecule: non-coding RNA, 1009 nt
Organism: Chiloscyllium plagiosum (whitespotted bambooshark)
Lineage: Eukaryota; Metazoa; Chordata; Chondrichthyes; Orectolobiformes; Hemiscylliidae
Source: RefSeq, a predicted model, not a curated record